AAAAGGGAAAUUGCCAAAAAUACAAUUUUUAAAGUACCACUUUUCAUGUUUACACUAACCACUUUUACUCUCAUCUUUAAUGAAGGGUAAAAGACAUUUAUAACCUUUUGAUUAACUUUGACAAAAAAAUAACUAACCUAAACUUAAAACAUCAACUUUAAACCCUCAUUCAUCAACUCUAAACCCUAAAUCAUCAACUCUAAACCCUAAACCAUGAAACAUCAACUCUAAACCGUAAACCCUAAA
RNAcentral lists this long non-coding RNA (246 nucleotides) under Brassica napus (rape). RNAcentral's name for it is "long non-coding RNA (BNAP_LNC018570)". Lineage: Eukaryota; Viridiplantae; Streptophyta; Magnoliopsida; Brassicales; Brassicaceae. The record is from RNAcentral.